GCGCCAUCAGACACUCCUACGGGAGGCAGCAGGCGCCAUCAGACACUCCUACGGGAGGCAGCAGGCGCCACCAGACACUCCUACGGGAGCUAG
Molecule: ribosomal RNA, 93 nt
Filed under: uncultured bacterium
Lineage: Bacteria
Description: partial 16S rRNA
Source: RNAcentral